This 272-nucleotide long non-coding RNA is filed under the name Physcomitrium patens. RNAcentral's name for it is "long non-coding RNA (PPAT_LNC011893)". The record is from RNAcentral. Lineage: Eukaryota; Viridiplantae; Streptophyta; Bryopsida; Funariales; Funariaceae.
UAAAUAAAUCCUAAAUAAAUCCUAAUUCAAUCUUAAUUAAUCUUAAUUGAAAUUCUAAUCAAAUUUAAUGAAAUCUUAGAUCAAAAUUUAAUUUAGUCAUCAUGAAAUCCUAAACUUCAAUAAAAUUUUAAUCAAAUCUUAAAUCCUAAUCAAAUCCUAAAACUUAGAUUAAUCUUAAAAUUUUAAUCAAAUCUUAAAUCCUAAUCAAACCCUAAAACUUAGAUUAAUCUUAAUGAAAUCCUACCAAAUCUUAAAUCUCAACCAAAUCCUAA